This 372-nucleotide ribosomal RNA is filed under the name uncultured bacterium. RNAcentral describes it as "bacterial SSU rRNA". It matches the Rfam family "Bacterial small subunit ribosomal RNA", at positions 524 to 898 of the family's 1533-position model. The record is from RNAcentral.
UACGUAGGGGGCGAGCGUUGUUCGGAAUUACUGGGCGUAAAGGGCGUGUAGGCGGUGCGGUAAGUCGGACGUGAAAUCCCCGGGCUCAACUCGGGGGGGUCGUUCGGGACUGCCGUGCUAGAGUGCGGGAGAGGGAAGUGGAAUUCCCGGUGUAGCGGUGAAAUGCGUAGAUAUCGGGAAGAACACCGGUGGCGAAGGCGGCUUCCUGGCCCGCAACUGACGCUGAGGCGCGAAAGCUAGGGGAGCAAACAGGAUUAGAUACCCUGGUAGUCCUAGCCCUAAACGAUGAGCACUUGGUGUAGCCCUUCACCGGGCUGUGCCGGAGCUAACGCGUUAAGUGCUCCGCCUGGGGAGUACGGUCGCAAGGCUGAA